RNAcentral lists this unclassified non-coding RNA (407 nucleotides) under fungal sp. RNAcentral describes it as "partial internal transcribed spacer region". The stretch from base 1 to 46 matches the Rfam family "Eukaryotic small subunit ribosomal RNA", at positions 1786 to 1831 of the family's 1831-position model. Lineage: Eukaryota; Fungi. The record is from RNAcentral.
AAGUCGUAACAAGGUUUCCGUAGGUGAACCUGCGGAAGGAUCAUUAUCACGUUUCUAUCCAAACGUAUUCGACAACGCGUUAUGUUAUUUUCUCUCCCGUGUGAACUACAUGUAUCGGCCUUACACGCUAACUGAGGGUAUGGGAUGGGUUUAGUCGAGAGGCUAUCCGAACUCAGACGUGGACAUUACGAUAGUAGUAGGGACGCGGCUAGCUGUGAAUGAGUAGGCCCCUCUAUCCCAGGGUCAAAAGUUUGCGGCACCCCAUUUUCUUUAACAAUUUUCACCCCUUUUUUGCUAGUUGACUUUAUCUGCUCGUCCACUCUCUUCAUUGAGAGGGGCAGCACGUUUAAUUUCUUAAUUGAACGUUAAAUACAAUACAACUCUUAGCAAUGGAUAUCUUGGUUCUC